This 253-nucleotide ribosomal RNA is filed under the name uncultured bacterium. RNAcentral's name for it is "partial 16S ribosomal RNA". It matches the Rfam family "Bacterial small subunit ribosomal RNA", at positions 524 to 776 of the family's 1533-position model. The record is from RNAcentral.
UACAGAGGGUGCGAGCGUUAAUCGGAUUUACUGGGCGUAAAGGGCACGUAGGCGGUAAGAUGUGUGUGAUGUGAAAGCCCCGGGCUCAACCUGGGAAGUGCAUCGCAAACUAUCUAACUAGAGUAUAUGAGAGGGUGGCGGAAUUUCCGGUGUAGCGGUGAAAUGCGUAGAGAUCGGAAGGAACGUCAAUGGCGAAGGCAGCCACCUGGCAUAAUACUGACGCUGAGGUGCGAAAGCGUGGGGAUCGAACAGG